This 5070-nucleotide long non-coding RNA is filed under the name Sus scrofa (pig). Its description in RNAcentral is "lncRNA (ENSSSCG00000053641.1)". The record is from RNAcentral. Lineage: Eukaryota; Metazoa; Chordata; Mammalia; Artiodactyla; Suidae.
AAUGCCAUUAGGGUUAUGUGAGAAAAUGUUUGUACUGCUAUUUUAAGGAAAUAUUUACUAAAAUAUUCAGGAAUUAAAUUAAUUCUUUGGGGGAUUUGUAAAGAUACACCAUUAACAAAGGUGAAAAGAUAAAUGAAAUUAAUAUGGCAAAAUAUUGAUGAUUGUUGAUGCUGCUAAAAAUUACAUGAAGAUUCAUUGUACCCUAUUCUUGUGUAUAUUUAUAAAUUUUCUAACAAUAAAAAGUAAAAAGAAAUGCUUUAUUCUUUAAAUAAUGAGUAUAUUUUAUAAUCCCCACAGGUUUGUUGCUUAGUGGAGAAAUGUUUUAAAAAUCCACGGCAUGUUUUUGAAGAUAAAGGUCUUGUUGAGUCAUUUCUUUUUUUUUUUUUUUGGUCUUUUUAGGGCCACACCCAUGGCAUAUGGAGGUUCCAAGGCUAGGGGUCAAAUCAGAGCUGUAACCACUGGCCUACACCACAGCAACAGCAAUACAGGAUCUGAGCUGCAUCGGAGACCUAUACUACAGCUCACAGCAACAUCAGAUCCUUAACCCACUGAGCAAGGCCAGGGAUUGAACUUGCAUCCUCAUGGAUACUACUCAGGUUUGUUAACCACUGAACCACAAAGGGAUAUCCUGUGAUAUACCAAAUUCAUUGAUGAGCCCUAGAUUUUUUUGUAGCGUCUUUAGCGUCUUUAGCAUUUUCUAUGCAUAGUAUAUCAUAUCAUCUGCAAACAGUGACACUUUUACUACUUAUUUUUCCAAUUUGGAUUCCUUUUAUUUCUUUUUUCUUCUCUGAUUGCUUCCAGAACUAUGCUGAAUAAAAGUGUCAAGAGUAGACAUCUUUAUCUUAUUCCCAAUCUUAGAGGAUAUGCUUUUAAUUUAUUAUGCACAUUUUGUCUUAGUGUGUAGUUCUAGAUCUUGCCUGCUAAUAAACACCCCUGAGUCUGUUCUCAGCAGCUUAUUUGCACUAGUUUUUAUUAUUGACAUAUAGCAAUUUUCUUCAUAGGUAUUCAUGUCUUCUAUCACAGGUGUUUCUUGAACACCUUCCAUAUGCCAGGGAUGUGCAAGGAGCUAGAAAUCUAAUUUUGAACAAUGACAAUAAUAAAACAGAUCUAAUCAUUACCUUUAAAAAGUUUAUAACAUAGUGAAAAAGGCCAAUAUUCAAGAAAAAAAAUACAACAAUAAAUUUACAUUAUCUGAAACUAUGACUUUUUUUUUUUUUGUCAGAAAGGUUAUAUUACUUUGAAAGUAAAUAUUAGGGGACAUGGCCUUAAGUAGGUGGGUGGUUACCAAGAUUUGACAAAGAAAGUGAUAAUUCACAUCUAAAAAAAAAAGAACAGGAGUCAAGAUAAAGGCUAGAGAGUAUGUUCCACGUAGGAUGAAGAAUACAUACAAGAACCGUGUGACCAGAAGCCUGGAAUGACUACAAGGGGAAAUGAAAUAAGACAUACCUACAGUGUUGAGAAGCUGGUGAAGAGGAAGCCAAAAGCAUGGGCAGGGCCUAUGUGUAUAGAGUCCUAUAAGGUUUAUUUAUUUAUUUCCUUACUUAUAUUUUCUUUUUAGGGCUGCACCUGUGGAAUAUAGAAGUUCCUGGGCUAAGGGUUGAAUCAGAGUUGCAGCUACUGGCCUACACCACAGCCACAGCAACACAAAAUCCAAGCCACCUCUGCAACCUACACCACAGCUCAUGGCAACCCCUGAUCCUUAACCCACUAAGUGAGGCCAGGGAUCAAACCUGAAUUAUCAUGAAUACUUCAUUGGAUUCUUAACCUGCUGAGCUACAAUGUGAAUUCCAAGCCCUCUAGGUUUAAAAAGGAGACUUCUUUCAUCUCUCUCCUCCUCCCUCCCUCCUUCCCUUUCUUCCUUCCAUCCAAAAACCAUGAGAAGCUUUAACAAACCAUGGAGAAUGAAAUGAUCAUGUUUUCGGUUUGAAAAGAACCUUCUCACAGUGUGGAGAGCAGAUUUUAAUGUGGAAAGAAGGAAGAGUAGAUUCAAAGACAUUACAGAAAACAUGGAGACAGUUUAAGAAGAAAAAUCAGCAAAGUUUGGUGACAGAUUAAAUACGGAGAAUAAAUGAAAGGGACUGAAAGUUCAGUUCUUGCAGUCAACUAAUAUUCAUUGUUCCUGCUUAAUAACGCACAUUUUAACUGAAAAAUAUUGACAUGUACCAGGCACAGUUCUAAAUACUUUAUAAAUAUAUCCCUGUGAAGGAGAUGAGAUUAUGCACAUUUUUCAUAUGAGCAAUCUGAUACAGAGAGAAGCAACAUACCUCACUCGAGAUCACAGUUUGGUCAGUGGUAGACCACGGAUUUGAACCCAGGCUCUCUGCCCUAAGAGUCUAUAAUCUUAAUCCCAAAUCAUGGUAGCCCAUUUGAAUUUUAGCUAGGCUCCUAGCCAAUCAGCUCAGGACAACAUUACUCAGUCACAACUCCCUUGUAGUUUGAUGUGUUCUUGUGACUGAGCUCUGGCCAGUGGCAUAUGAGCAACAGCCAUACCUGCUACUGUUUAAUCUUGUGUUUUGUUCCUCUUUUCCCUCUGAGCGAUGGUUAGCAUUUAAAGAACUGCUUUAAACCCCAAAAUGGAAGUCAUACACUAAUGACAGCAAAGCUGGCCCAACAACUUAUUCAGACUACUAAUUUAGAAACCAUGUGAAGGAGAAACGUACUUCUAUGUUAUUUAACCCAUGCUGAAUCACAUACUGUUUGCAGCAAAUUAACCGUCCCCUACUUACUGUAAGGCCUGUCACAGAUAACUCCUCACUGUAUGGCGGCAUGAUGAGGCUAUUUACUAAGAAAGGAAACACAGAAGAGGAGUAAGUUUGAAGAGAAAACGAUCAUGUUAUAAUCAUGUUCAAUCUGAGAUAACUUUAAAGCACUCAAGUAGAGCUGUUGCGUGAGUAGGUAUAUAUAUAAUCUAGAGCUUAAAAAAGAGCUGAAGAUAAACUCUUUCAUUGAUACAAUUUUGAAGUAUAUAUAAUAUACUUCAAUAAUAGUUCAUAAUACUCAAGUACUAAAAGAUUUUUUUUCCUUCCAUUUUAUUAACUUUCAAAUUUAUCUUAGAAAACACAUUUAGCUGAGUGUCUGGAGCUCAAGGUCUCUCCCGAGGCUGUCAUCAAGCUGUAGGUCAAAGCUAUAUCUCAGAAGUCAACUGGGGCUCAAAUAUCUGCUUCUAACUCUCUCAAGGAGUUAUCCAAGAGCUUCAAUACCUUGCAGCCUGUUGAAUUGAGGGCUUCCUUUCCUCAACGUGAUGGGGGCGGGGAGGCCCUCUCCACAGGGCUGCCAGGAACAUGGCAGCCUGUUUCUACAGCAUAAGUAGUAUGGGGGAGAGAGAGAGAGAAUUACAGAUAGAAGCACAGUACUAUAAAAAACCUAAUGUUGAAAGUGUCACCCUAUCACUUCUGAAAUAGUCAAAUUCAUAAAAGCAGAGUAGAAUGGUGGUUACCAGGGGCUGAGAGGAGGGGGAAAUGAAAUGUUGAUCAGUGGCACAAAGUUUCAUUUAGGCAAGAUGAAUAAGCACUGGAGAUCUAAUGCACAAUGCAACUAUAAUUAACAAUACUAUAUUAUACACUUGAAAUUUGUUGAGGGUAGAUCUCAAGUGUCCUUACCACGGAAAAUGUGAGAUGAUGGAUAUGUUAAUUAGCUUGAUUGGGGCAAUUAUUUCACAAUGGGUAUGUAUAUCAAAAUAUUAGUUGUAUACCUUAAAUAUAUACAAUUUCCAUUUGUCGAUUAUACUUUAAUAAAGAUGAAAAAAGAGAUGAGAAUAAAAAUGUAAAUCAGUAAGCCCAGCCUACUUAAGGGGAGGGCAUUUCACAAACCCAUGAAUAUUAGGAGACAAGAAUUAUUGGGGGCCAUUUUAGAGGUUGUCUGUCACAGUAAUCAAGAUAGAGAAAAUAAACUUGUGGUUCCCAAGGGGAGAAGAAAGGGGGAGGGACAAAUUUGGGGUAAAUGAUUAACAGAUACCAGCUACUAUAUAUAAAGUAGAUAAUCAAAAAGCAUAUACUGUAGAGCACAGGGAAUUAUACUCAUUAUCUUGUAAUAACUUAUAAUGGAAUGUAAUCUGCCAAAAAUACUGAAUCACUCUGCUGUACAAGUGAAACUAACACAAUAUUGUAAAUCAGCUAUACUUCAUUUAAAAAAAAGUCCCUAGUGAUAUUAACAUAGAUUUUACAAGAAUACUUAAAUUCUCCCAGUUAUAAAUUUUUGAUAGUUACAAUUAAUAUGACAUUUAUACAUAUGAAUGUAUAAUAGAUAAAAAAUACACAUACACAUUGUGUUAAGCACUCUGUAGAAUACAGAGAUAAAUAAGUCAUGGAACUUUAACUUGAACAGUUUCUAAUAUAACAUGUGGAUUAUUUACUCCUCAAUUGGAAGCUUAUAUUUCUUUAGGAGUUCACCUAAAUACAUAGGGAUGCAUAUAUUUCCCAUUUGGCAAAAUGAGAAAUACUACAUUUUUUCUUACAUGGAAAUAAGUCAAAUAAUACCUUGUAUUUACAUUGUAAAUGUUCUAGAAAUAAUAAGUAUUAACAAUAACAUGUUUAAGAAUUGACAUUCUUAGCUUUCAUCAACAAAACAUUUUUAUUCUUAAGAAAUGGAAAUUGAAAUUUUUUUAAAAUAUGCAUCAGUGAAGAAUGUAAAAUGCUUUUCCAUUUCCUAUUUAUUAUAAUAAAAUGCAAAAGGGAGGAGCAAUGAUAAACCUCUACAAAGCUGCUUGAAAAAUUAAUUUCAGAUAUGAUCCCAUUAUUAAGUAUUAAGAUUAAUAAAAAAAGCAAUUAAAUUAGGAUAAUUAACACAAAAUACAGUGUUCAUGCUCAGUAGGGUUACUUUAUACUGGAUUAUAAUUGAAAACUGACAUUUUCUUACCCAGAAUACUAACCAAGGGCUUUUAUUUCUUCUAGAGAAGAUUACAUAUCAAUAUAAAUUCAGAGAUUAGAAAACUCUUUGUAAUUACACAAAUCACUUCUCGAAUAUCAUGUCAGUUUAAAUGUUACAUACAGAUAGAGCAAGAAAACUAAAAAGUUAAAAUAAACAAUCAUUUAACUGCUGGAGAAAAAUCCAUAUAAAGGGCAUCCUAUUUCU